Molecule: ribosomal RNA, 492 nt
Filed under: uncultured bacterium
Lineage: Bacteria
Description: partial 16S ribosomal RNA
Rfam family: Bacterial small subunit ribosomal RNA
Source: RNAcentral
AGUGAACGCUGGCGGUAGGCCUAACACAUGCAAGUCGAACGGCAGCACAGUAAGAGCUUGCUCUUACGGGUGGCGAGUGGCGGACGGGUGAGGAAUACAUCGGAAUCUACUUUUUCGUGGGGGAUAACGUAGGGAAACUUACGCUAAUACCGCAUACGACCUACGGGUGAAAGCAGGGGAUCUUCGGACCUUGCGCGAUUGAAUGAGCCGAUGUCGGAUUAGCUAGUUGGCGGGGUAAAGGCCCACCAAGGCGACGAUCCGUAGCUGGUCUGAGAGGAUGAUAAGCCACCCGGGAACUGAGACACGGUCCAGACUCCUACGGGAGGCAGCAGAGGGGAAUAUUGGACAAAGGGCGCAAGCCUGAUCCAGCCAUACCGCGUGGGUGAAGAAGGCCUUCGGGUUGUAAAGCCCUUUUGUUGGGAAAGAAAAGCAGCAGGUUAAUACCCCGCUGUUCUGACGGUACCCAAAGAAUAAGCACCGGCUAACUUCGUG